Molecule: signal recognition particle RNA, 312 nt
Filed under: Candidatus Bathyarchaeota archaeon
Lineage: Archaea; Thermoproteati; Candidatus Bathyarchaeota
Description: signal recognition particle sRNA
Rfam family: Archaeal signal recognition particle RNA
Source: RNAcentral
UGGUGAUGGGAGCUGGGGGGCUCGUCCUUCCCUGUUACCUGAAACGGGCGAUACGCAGGGGCUUGACUUGAAAGGCGCCGUUUCUGAUAGGUUGCAGGACCCUCUAGCCGACGUUGAAACACCGCCCCAUCGGACCAGUGUAGAAGGAUUGUUUCUGUAGAGAAGCAAUUACUUCCUCAUUGUCGAAACCCGAUAGGCCCGGGAGGGAGCAUCGGUUAGACGAACAUGUAGGUGCUGGUGGGAUACCGGGGUUGAGAAAGCAAUUGGGACACCGUGCCUAGAAGGAACGACCACUUCCAAGGUCCAUCACCA